This is a long non-coding RNA of Helianthus annuus (common sunflower), 494 nucleotides long. RefSeq lists it as uncharacterized. The transcript has 2 exons. The record is from RefSeq and is a predicted model, not a curated record. Lineage: Eukaryota; Viridiplantae; Streptophyta; Magnoliopsida; Asterales; Asteraceae.
AAGUUUUAUUAUUAAUUAAAACAUAACACACAUUCAGUGUGUGUGUGUUGGAGGUCGACCAGAACAAGAACAACAACCCUAGUUGUUCAAAAUUCUCAAAAUUAGAAGAGUUUAAGAAGCUAAAUCAGAUGCAUGAACUCAAAAUCUUAAUCAUCUAAGCUUGUUCAUCAAAGUGGUGUAAAGGAAGGAAGUUCAAGUCAAGCGAAGCAACAAGGGAAUCAAGAUCGAGGUACGCUACUUGUGCGAUUCGUGGUUUUAUUAUACUUUUAUUUUACUAUAUGGUGUGGUUAUUGUAUUGGACAUGAGGAGAACCAUGUGUAGGACUCAUUCAUAUUGGUCGGAAAUAUUAGAAUGUUAUGUAAAAGAAAGAAUGUGCGUAGCCCCUUUAUGAACGGGUCAAAAAGGAUUUGAAUGUAAGAAUGAGAAUGAUGGUAUGAUGUUCAUUUUGGAACAUAUUCAUGUGUAAGAAUGAUGGUACUAAUGUAACAAGUAAA